RNAcentral lists this ribosomal RNA (492 nucleotides) under uncultured bacterium. RNAcentral describes it as "partial 16S ribosomal RNA". It matches the Rfam family "Bacterial small subunit ribosomal RNA", at positions 29 to 507 of the family's 1533-position model. The record is from RNAcentral.
AGUGAACGCUGGCGGUAGGCCUAACACAUGCAAGUCGAACGGCAGCACAGUAAAAGCUUGCUCUUACGGGUGGCGAGUGGCGGACGGGUGAGGAAUACAUCGGAAUCUACUUUUUCGUGGGGGAUAACGUAGGGAAACUUACGCUAAUACCGCAUACGACCUACAGGUGAAAGCAGGGGAUCUUCGGACCUUGCGCGUAUGGAUGCGCCGAUGUCGGAUGAGCUAGUGGGCGGGGUAAAGGCCCACCAAGGCAAGGAUCCGUAGCUGGUCUGAGAGGAUGAUCAGCCACACUGGAACUGAGACACGGUCCUGACUCUUACGGGAGGCAGCAGUGGGGAAUAUUGGACAAUGGGCGCGAGCCUGAUCCAGCCAUAUCGCGUGAGUGAAGAUGGCCUUCGGGUUGUAAAGCCAUUUUGUUGGGAAAGAAAAGCAGCAGGUUAAUACCCCGCUGUUAUGACGGUACCCAAAGAAUAAGCACCGGCUAACUUCGUG